GUGAGGAAUAUUGCGCAAUGGAGGCAACUCUGACGCAGCCAUGCCGCGUGCAGGAAGAAGGCACUACGCGUUGUAAACUGCUUUUAACCGGGAAGAAACCCCAGGACGUGUCCUGGGUUGACGGUACCGGAGGAAUAAGCACCGGCUAACUUCGUGCCAGCAGCCGCGGUAAUACGAAGGGUGCAAGCGUUAUCCGGAUUCAUUGGGUUUAAAGGGUGGGUAGGCGGAGCGUUAAGUCAGUGGUGAAAUCCUGCAGCUUAACUGUAGACUUGCCAUUGAUACUGGCGCUCUUGAGUGCGCUUGAAGUGGGCGGAAUGUGCCGUGUAGCGGUGAAAUGCUUAGAUAUGGCACAGAACACCAAUUGCGAAGGCAGCUCACUAAGGCGAUACUGACGCUGAGGCACGAAAGCGUGGGGAUCGAACAGGAUUAGAUACCCCGGUAGUCC
Molecule: ribosomal RNA, 445 nt
Filed under: uncultured bacterium
Lineage: Bacteria
Description: partial 16S ribosomal RNA
Rfam family: Bacterial small subunit ribosomal RNA
Source: RNAcentral